RNAcentral lists this ribosomal RNA (495 nucleotides) under uncultured bacterium. RNAcentral's name for it is "bacterial SSU rRNA". It matches the Rfam family "Bacterial small subunit ribosomal RNA", at positions 28 to 526 of the family's 1533-position model. The record is from RNAcentral.
GAUGAACGCUAGCGGCAGGCUUAACACAUGCAAGUCGAGGGGUAUAGUAGCAAUACUAGAGACCGGCGCACGGGUGCGUAACGCGUAUGCAAUCUACCUUUCACAGAGGGAUAGCCCAGAGAAAUUUGGAUUAAUACCUCAUAGUAUAUAUAGAUGGCAUCAUUUAUAUAUUAAAGUCACAACGGUGAAGGAUGAGCAUGCGUCCCAUUAGCUAGAUGGUAAGGUAACGGCUUACCAUGGCUACGAUGGGUAGGGGUCCUGAGAGGGAGAUCCCCCACACUGGUACUGAGACACGGACCAGACUCCUACGGGAGGCAGCAGUGAGGAAUAUUGGACAAUGGGCGCAAGCCUGAUCCAGCCAUGCCGCGUGCAGGAUGACGGUCCUAUGGAUUGUAAACUGCUUUUGUACGAGAAGAAACUCUCCGACGUGUCGGAGCUUGACGGUAUCGUAAGAAUAAGGAUCGGCUAACUCCGUGCCAGCCGCCGCGGUAACAC